UUACGGCCAUAUCACAUUGAUACACUGGUUCCCUUACAAUCACCGAAGUUAAGCAACAUCAGUCUGUGUCUGUACUUAGAUGGGUCGCUGCUUGAGACUACCAGGUGCUGUUA
Non-coding RNA from Acanthosepion pharaonis, 113 nucleotides. Lineage: Eukaryota; Metazoa; Mollusca; Cephalopoda; Sepiida; Sepiidae. The record is from the annotation of a GenBank genome assembly.